This 487-nucleotide ribosomal RNA is filed under the name uncultured bacterium. Its description in RNAcentral is "bacterial SSU rRNA". It matches the Rfam family "Bacterial small subunit ribosomal RNA", at positions 46 to 524 of the family's 1533-position model. The record is from RNAcentral.
UCUUAACACAUGCAAGUCGAACGGUAACAGCGGGAGCUUGCUCCCGGCUGACGAGUGGCGGACGGGUGAGUAACGCGUAGGAAUCUACCUAAUAGUGGGGGACAACCCGGGGAAACUCGGGCUAAUACCGCAUACGCUCUUAGGAGGAAAGCGGGGGAUCUUCGGACCUCGCGCUAUUAGAGGAGCCUGCGUCGGAUUAGCUAGUUGGUGAGGUAAAGGCUCACCAAGGCGGCGAUCCGUAGCUGGUCUGAGAGGACGACCAGCCACACUGGAACUGAGACACGGUCCAGACUCCUACGGGAGGCAGCAGUGGGGAAUCUUGGGCAAUGGGCGCAAGCCUGACCCAGCCAUGCCGCGUGUGUGAAGAAGGCCUUCGGGUUGUAAAGCACUUUCAGUGGUGAAGAAAAUCUCAGGUCUAAUACACCUGAGCCUUGACGUUAACCACAGAAGAAGCACCGGCUAACUCCGUGCCAGCAGCCGCGGUAAU